RNAcentral lists this ribosomal RNA (660 nucleotides) under uncultured bacterium. Its description in RNAcentral is "bacterial SSU rRNA". It matches the Rfam family "Bacterial small subunit ribosomal RNA", at positions 1 to 663 of the family's 1533-position model. The record is from RNAcentral.
GGCUUAGAGUUUGAUCAUGGCUCAGGAUGAACGCUGGCGGCGUGCCUAAUACAUGCAAGUCGAGCGAAGCGCUUGCCUUUGAUCCUUCGGGUGAAGAGGCUUGUGACUGAGCGGCGGACGGGUGAGUAACACGUAGGGAACCUGCCUCACACAGGGGGAUAACAGUUAGAAAUGACUGCUAAUACCGCAUAAGCGCACAGGACCGCAUGGUCUGGUGUGAAAAGCUCCGGCGGUGUGAGAUGGACCUGCGUCUGAUUAGCCAGUUGGCGGGGUAACGGCCCACCAAAGCGACGAUCAGUAGCCGGCCUGAGAGGGUGGACGGCCACAUUGGAACUGAGACACGGCCCAGACUCCUACGGGAGGCAGCAGUAGGGAAUAUUGCACAAUGGGGGAAACCCUGAUGCAGCGACGCCGCGUGAGCGAAGAAGUAUCUCGGUAUGUAAAGCUCUAUCAGCAGGGAAGAAGAUGACGGUACCUGACUAAGAAGCACCGGCUAAAUACGUGCCAGCAGCCGCGGUAAUACGUAUGGUGCAAGCGUUAUCCGGAUUUACUGGGUGUAAAGGGAGCGUAGACGGAAGAGCAAGUCUGGAGUGAAAGCCCGGGGCUCAACCCCGGGACUGCUUUGGAAACUGUUUAUCUAGAGUGCCGGAGAGGCAAGCG